Acanthosepion pharaonis is the source of this 114-nucleotide non-coding RNA. The record is from the annotation of a GenBank genome assembly. NCBI's taxonomy places the organism in Eukaryota, Metazoa, Mollusca, Cephalopoda, Sepiida, Sepiidae.
AUACGGCCAUAUCACGUUGAAACACCGGUUCCCGUACGACCACCGAAAUUAAGCAACGUCUAGCUUGGUCAAUAACUAGAUGAGUGACCGCUUGUGAACACCAGGCGUUGUAAG